ACCUGGAGCACAGUAGUUAUUGCUACAGUUGAGCUUUAGUGCAGUAGGUGGCAAGGAGGAGAUUUGCUCUCUUCUAUGGGUGACCAAGAAGCCCUGCAGAUACAAAUAAGAAGGCAGCAGCAGAAGAAGCUGUGUGUGGAGGUCACUGCCAGAAUUCAAGCCAUACACUACUUCCUAGUUCAGCAUUCUGGGAUUCAGUUGAAUGUUAACCCUACGCACAGCACGUGAUCAACGCACAAAAAUGGGGUGAAAUCCAAUUUCAGAACACCAAGGUUAUGAAUUGGAAAAGGAAGCUGUCAAGCAGACGUGCAGAAUUCCAAAGAUGUGCUUAUUUUUA
Long non-coding RNA from Pristis pectinata (smalltooth sawfish), 337 nucleotides. RefSeq lists it as uncharacterized. NCBI's taxonomy places the organism in Eukaryota, Metazoa, Chordata, Chondrichthyes, Rhinopristiformes, Pristidae. The transcript is spliced from 3 exons. The record is from RefSeq and is a predicted model, not a curated record.